UAGGGAAUCUUCGGCAAUGGACGAAAGUCUGACCGAGCAACGCCGCGUGAGUGAAGAAGGUUUUCGGAUCGUAAAGCUCUGUUGUAAGAGAAGAACGAGUGUGAGAGUGGAAAGUUCACACUGUGACGGUAUCUUACCAGAAAGGGACGGCUAACUACGUGCCAGCAGCCGCGGUAAUACGUAGGUCCCAAGCGUUGUCCGGAUUUAUUGGGCGUAAAGCGAGCGCAGGCGGUUAGAUAAGUCUGAAGUUAAAGGCUGUGGCUUAACCAUAGUACGCUUUGGAAACUGUUUAACUUGAGUGCAAGAGGGGAGAGUGGAAUUCCAUGUGUAGCGGUGAAAUGCGUAGAUAUAUGGAGGAACACCGGUGGCGAAAGCGGCUCUCUGGCUUGUAACUGACGCUGAGGCUCGAAAGCGUGGGGAGCAAACAGGAUUAGAUACCCUGGUAGUCCACGCCGUAACGAUGAGUGCUAGGUGUUAGACCCUUUCCGGGGUUUAGUGCCGCAGCUAACGCAUUAAGCACUCCGCCUGGGGAGUACGACCGCAAGGUUG
This 549-nucleotide ribosomal RNA is filed under the name uncultured bacterium. RNAcentral's name for it is "bacterial SSU rRNA". It matches the Rfam family "Bacterial small subunit ribosomal RNA", at positions 355 to 896 of the family's 1533-position model. The record is from RNAcentral.